This 26-nucleotide non-coding RNA is filed under the name Mus musculus (house mouse). Lineage: Eukaryota; Metazoa; Chordata; Mammalia; Rodentia; Muridae. The record is from RNAcentral.
UGCCUUUGCUUCAUUCUUGCCCUGGG